This 671-nucleotide ribosomal RNA is filed under the name Streptomyces viridosporus. RNAcentral's name for it is "bacterial SSU rRNA". It matches the Rfam family "Bacterial small subunit ribosomal RNA", at positions 74 to 760 of the family's 1533-position model. The record is from RNAcentral. Lineage: Bacteria; Bacillati; Actinomycetota; Actinomycetes; Kitasatosporales; Streptomycetaceae.
AGCCCCUCGGGGCGGAUUAGUGGCGAACGGGUGAGUAACACGUGGGCAAUCUGCCCUGCACUUCGGGACAAGCCCUGGAAACGGGGUCUAAUACCGGAUACCCGUCUCCGCAGGCAUCUGCGGAAACGGAAAGCUCCGGCGGUGCAGGAUGAGCCCGCGGCCUAUCAGCUGGUUGGUGAGGUAACGGCUCACCAAGGCGACGACGGGUAGCCGGCCUGAGAGGGCGACCGGCCACACUGGGACUGAGACACGGCCCAGACUCCUACGGGAGGCAGCAGUGGGGAAUAUUGCACAAUGGGCGCAAGCCUGAUGCAGCGACGCCGCGUGAGGGACGACGGCCUUCGGGUUGUAAACCUCUUUCAGCAGGGAAGAAGCGCAAGUGACGGUACCUGCAGAAGAAGCGCCGGCUAACUACGUGCCAGCAGCCGCGGUAAUACGUAGGGCGCGAGCGUUGUCCGGAAUUAUUGGGCGUAAAGAGCUCGUAGGCGGCCUGUCGCGUCAAUUGUGAAAGCCCGGGGCUCAACCCCGGGUCUGCAGUCGAUACGGGCAGGCUAGAGUUCGGUAGGGGAGAUCGGAAUUCCUGGUGUAGCGGUGAAAUGCGCAGAUAUCAGGAGGAACACCGGUGGCGAAGGCGGAUCUCUGGGCCGACACUGACGCUGAGGAGCGAAAGC